This 398-nucleotide long non-coding RNA is filed under the name Lepisosteus oculatus (spotted gar). Its description in RNAcentral is "lncRNA (ENSLOCG00000021206.1)". The record is from RNAcentral. Lineage: Eukaryota; Metazoa; Chordata; Actinopteri; Semionotiformes; Lepisosteidae.
CUGGUUUAUUAUAAGAUGUCAUUUUGUUACAUCAUUCAAAUGCAUGUUUUACUCUUUCAGCAUUCUGUAAGAAAGCUGAUGGUUUGAUUUUCUCCAUGCUUCUGGACGUGUUGAGCUCGCUGGUUCAGAACGAUGUCCUGGACACUCUCAGAGAGUUCUGUCGGAAAGGUGAAGCUGUGAUUGUCUCCAUGCUUCUGUUCGUGUUGAGCUUGCUGUAUCUGGCCAGUGACCUGGACACUCUCAGAGGGGGACCUGGACUCAUGUGUGAAGUCCUGUUUCUCUGGAUUCUGGCUGUUGGGACAGUCUUUACAGAGGAAGAUGGAGAUGAGCAUGAAGAUGGUACAGUAGGAAUUAUUUAAGUGUUAUUUUAGACAGUUGUGAUUGAAUGUGAUUGAGUG